This 371-nucleotide ribosomal RNA is filed under the name uncultured bacterium. RNAcentral describes it as "bacterial SSU rRNA". It matches the Rfam family "Bacterial small subunit ribosomal RNA", at positions 527 to 896 of the family's 1533-position model. The record is from RNAcentral.
GUAGGGUGCGAGCGUUAAUCGGAAUUACUGGGCGUAAAGUGUGCGCAGGCGGCCUCGCAAGUCGAGUGUGAAAUCCCCGGGCUUAACUUGGGAAUUGCGCUCGAAACUACGGGGCUUGAGUGUGGCAGAGGGGGGUGGAAUUCCACGUGUAGCGGUGAAAUGCGUAGAGAUGUGGAGGAACACCAAUGGCGAAGGCAGCCCCCUGGGCCAACACUGACGCUCAUGCACGAAAGCGUGGGGAGCAAACAGGAUUAGAUACCCUGGUAGUCCACGCCCUAAACGAUGAUGACUAGUUGUUGGGGGAGUUAAAUCCCUUAGUAACGCAGCUAACGCGCGAAGUCAUCCGCCUGGGGAGUACGGUCGCAAGAUUA